Molecule: ribosomal RNA, 253 nt
Filed under: uncultured bacterium
Lineage: Bacteria
Description: partial 16S ribosomal RNA
Rfam family: Bacterial small subunit ribosomal RNA
Source: RNAcentral
UACGUAGGGUGCAGGCGUUAAUCGGAAUUACUGGGCGUAAAGCGUGCGCAGGCGGUUUCUUAAGUCAGAUGUGAAAGCCCCGGGCUUAACUGGGGAGGGUCACUCGAUACUGAUCGACUCGAAGGCAGGAGAGGGAAGUGGAAUUCCCGGUGUAGUGGUGAAAUGCGUAGAUAUCUGGAGGAACACCGGUGGCGAAGGCGGCGUUCUGGACUGUUUCUGACACUGUAAAACGAAAGCCAGGGGAGCAAACGGG